AUUGACCUCGGAUCAGGUAGGGAUACCCGCUGAACUUAAGCAUAUCAAUAAGCGGAGGAAAAGAAACCAACAGGGAUUGCCUCAGUAACGGCGAGUGAAGCGGCAACAGCUCAAAUUUGAAAUCUGGCUCUUUUAGGGUCCGAGUUGUAAUUUGUAGAGGGUGCUUUGGCGUUGGUUGUGGUCUAAGUUCCUUGGAACAGGACGUCACAGAGGGUGAGAAUCCCGUACGUGGCCGCCAGCCUCCGCCGUGUAAAGCCCCUUCGAUGAGUCGAGUUGUUUGGGAAUGCAGCUCUAAAUGGGAGGUAAAUUUCUUCUAAAGCUAAAUAUUUGCCAGAGACCGAUAGCGCACAAGUAGAGUGAUCGAAAGAUGAAAAGCACUUUGGAAAGAGAGUCAAAAAGCACGUGAAAUUGUUGAAAGGGAAGCGCUUGCAGCUAGACGUGCCUUUGGUUGAUCAGCCGGACUUUUGCCCGGUGCACUCUUCCUUUGGCAGGCCAGCAUCAGUUUGGGCGGCUGGAUAAAGGUCUGUUAAACGUGACUUCCUUCGGGGAGAGCUUAUAGGGCAGACGACAUGCAGCCAGCCUGAACUGAGGUCCGCGCAUCUGCUAGGAUGCUGGCGUAAUAGCUGUAAGCGGCCCGUCUUGAAACACGGACCAAGGAGUCUAACAUCUAUGCGAGUGUUUGGGUGUCAAGCCCGAGCGCGCAAUGAAAGUAAACGGAGGUGGGAACCCUUUGGGUGCACCAUCGACCGAUCCUGAUGUCUUCGGAUGGAUUUGAGUAAGAGCAUAGCUGUUGGGACCCGAAAGAUGGUGAACUAUGCCUGAAUAGGGUGAAGCCAGAGGAAACUCUGGUGGAGGCUCGCAGCGGUUCUGACGUGCAAAUCGAUCGUCAAAUUUGGGCAUAGGGGCGAAAGACUAAUCGAACUAUCUAGUAGCUG
This 935-nucleotide ribosomal RNA is filed under the name Lophiostoma macrostomoides. Its description in RNAcentral is "eukaryotic LSU rRNA". It matches the Rfam family "Eukaryotic large subunit ribosomal RNA", at positions 1 to 953 of the family's 3401-position model. The record is from RNAcentral. Lineage: Eukaryota; Fungi; Ascomycota; Dothideomycetes; Pleosporales; Lophiostomataceae.